This is a non-coding RNA of Potamilus streckersoni, 74 nucleotides long. Lineage: Eukaryota; Metazoa; Mollusca; Bivalvia; Unionida; Unionidae. The record is from the annotation of a GenBank genome assembly.
UUCUUAGGGGAAAAGUGGUAAAAGUGUCCGCCUCGGAUGUGGAAGGUCGCGGGUUCGAACCCCGGCCUAGUAAU